GCCCUACGGGACGCAGCAGUGGGGAAUAUUGCACAAUGGGGGGAACCCUGAUGCAGCGACGCCGCGUGAGUGAAGAUGUAUUUCGGUAUGUAAAGCUCUAUCAGCAGGGAAGAAAAUGACGGUACCUGACUAAGAAGCCCCGGCUAACUACGUGCCAGCAGCCGCGGUAAUACGUAGGGGGCACGCGUUAUCCGGAUUUACUGGGUGUAAAGGGAGCGUAGACGGCAGAGCAAGUCUGAAGUGAAAGCCCGCGGCCCAACUG
Molecule: ribosomal RNA, 262 nt
Filed under: uncultured bacterium
Lineage: Bacteria
Description: partial 16S ribosomal RNA
Rfam family: Bacterial small subunit ribosomal RNA
Source: RNAcentral